ACUGGAGUUUGAUCCUGGCUCAGAUUGAACGCUGGCGGAAUGCUUUACACAUGCAAGUCGAACGGUAGAGGGGGCAACCCCUUGAGAGUGGCGAACGGGUGAGUAAUAUAUCGGAACGUGCCCAGUCGUGGGGGAUAACGUAGCGAAAGUUACGCUAAUACCGCAUACGAUCUAAGGAUGAAAGCGGGGGAUCGCAAGACCUCGCGCGAUUGGAGCGGCCGAUAUCAGAUUAGGUAGUUGGUGGGGUAAAGGCUCACCAAGCCAACGAUCUGUAGCUGGUCUGAGAGGACGACCAGCCAUACUGGAACUGAGACACGGUCCAGACUCCUACGGGAGCAGCAGUGGGGAAUUUUGGACAAUGGACGCAAGUCUGAUCCAGCCCAUUCCCGCGUGCAGGAU
This 399-nucleotide ribosomal RNA is filed under the name uncultured Limnohabitans sp. Its description in RNAcentral is "bacterial SSU rRNA". It matches the Rfam family "Bacterial small subunit ribosomal RNA", at positions 1 to 409 of the family's 1533-position model. Lineage: Bacteria; Pseudomonadati; Pseudomonadota; Betaproteobacteria; Burkholderiales; Comamonadaceae. The record is from RNAcentral.